ACCCAUUCAAAUUCAAAUAAACAUAAAACACAAUGCAAACAAAUAAAAACUAAAACACCAAACCUAAUUAAACAUUUAAACUAAUCAACACAAAUAACCAAAAAGAGUUUAGAUCAAUACACAAUAUUUUCAUGUAAUGCUGAAUAAUAAACCAAAGUGUUUGAACUUUGAAGAGAGAAUUGAGAUUGAUAUCAACGCAGCAACAUGUCAUUUGAUGCCGAAUAAUAAUGCGGUAUAAACCACGGUUUCAGAAGAGGAUCAGGAAUCAUAGCCAUUUCAACAGAAAAAUCAUUAGCAUCUUCAGCAAC
Molecule: long non-coding RNA, 308 nt
Filed under: Trifolium pratense (red clover)
Lineage: Eukaryota; Viridiplantae; Streptophyta; Magnoliopsida; Fabales; Fabaceae
Description: long non-coding RNA (TPRA_LNC002312)
Source: RNAcentral